UACGAGAGGUGCAAGCGUUAUUCGGAAUCAUUGGGCGUAAAGGGUGCGUAGACGGCACAUUAAGUCAACUGUUAAAUCUCCUGGCCUAACUGGGAAAAUGCGGUAGAUACUGAUAUGCUAGAGGAUGGAAGAGAGAAGUGGAAUUCUCGGAGUAGCGGUAAAAUGCGUAGAUCUCGAGAGGAACACCGAUGGCGAAGGCAGCUUCUUGGUCCAUUCCUGACGUUGAGGCACGAAAGCGUGGGGAGCAAACAGG
This 253-nucleotide ribosomal RNA is filed under the name uncultured bacterium. Its description in RNAcentral is "partial 16S ribosomal RNA". It matches the Rfam family "Bacterial small subunit ribosomal RNA", at positions 524 to 776 of the family's 1533-position model. The record is from RNAcentral.